UUAGAGUUUGAUCCUGGCUCAAGAUGACCUCUGGCGGCGUGCUUAACACAUGCAAGUCGAGCGAAGCACUUGAGUUUGAUUCUUCGGAUGAAGACUUUUGUGACUGAGCGGCGGACGGGUGAGUAACGCGUGGCUAACCUGCCUCAUACGGGGGGAUAACAGUUAGAAAUGACUGCUAACCCCGCAUAAGACCACGGUACCGCAUGGUACAGUGGUACACCCUCCGGUGGUAUGAGAUGGACCCCCCUCUGAUUACGUAGUUGGUGGGGUAACCGCCUACCAAGCCGACGAUCAGUAGCCGACCUGAGAGGGUGACCCGCCACAUUGGGACUGACACCCGGCCCACACUCCUGCGGGAGGCAGCAGUUGGGGAUUAUUUCACAAUGGAGGAAACUCUGAUGCAGGGAGGCCGAGUGAAAGAUGAAGUAUUUCGGUAUGUAAACUUCUAUCAGCAGGGAAGAAAAAUGACGGUACGUGAUUAAGAAGCCCCGGCUAACUACGUGCCAGCAGCCGCGGUAAUACGUAGGGGGCAAGCGUUAUCCGGAUUUACUGGGUGUAAAGGGAGCGUAGACGGCACGGCAAGCCAGAUGUGAAAGCCCGGGGCUCAACCCCGGGACUGCAUUUGGAACUGCUGAGCUAGAGUGUCGGAGAGGCAAGUGGAAUUCCUAGUGUAGCGGUGAAAUGCGUAGAUAUUAGGAGGAACACCAGUGGCGAAGGCGGCUUGCUGGACGAUGACUGACGUUGAGGCUCGAAAGCGUGGGGAGCAAACAGGAUUAGAUACCCUGGUAGUCCACGCCGUAAAACGAAGAAUUGUUGGGUGUCGGGUGGCAAAGCCAUUCGGUGCCCGCAGUUAACGCAAUAAGCAGUCCCACCUGGGGAGUACGUUCGCAAGAAUGAAACUCAAAGGAAUUGACGGGGACCCGCACAAGCGGUGGAGCAUGUGGUUUAAUUGGAAGCAACGCGAAGAACCUUACCUGAUCUUGACAUCCCGAUGACCGCUUCGUAAUGGAAGUUUUUCUUCGGAACAUCGGUGACAGGUGGUGCAUGGUUGUCGUCAGCUCGUGUCGUGAGAUGUUGGGUUAAGUCCCGCAACGAGCGCAACCCCUAUCUUCAGUAGCCAGCAGGUUAAGCUGGGCACUCUGGAGAGACUGCCAGGGAUAACCUGGAGGAAGGUGGGGAUGACGUCAAAUCAUCAUGCCCCUUAUGACCAGGGCUACACACGUGCUACAAUGGCGUAAACAAAGAGAAGCGAACUCGCGAGGGUAAGCAAAUCUCAAAAAUAACGUCUCAGUUCGGAUUGUAGUCUGCAACUCGACUACAUGAAGCUGGAAUCGCUAGUAAUCGCGGAUCAGAAUGCUGCGGUGAAUACGUUCCCGGGUCUUGUACA
This 1387-nucleotide ribosomal RNA is filed under the name uncultured bacterium. Its description in RNAcentral is "16S ribosomal RNA". It matches the Rfam family "Bacterial small subunit ribosomal RNA". The record is from RNAcentral.